AUUGAACGCUGGCGGCAGGCCUAACACAUGCAAGUCGAACGGUAACAGAAAGAAGCUUGCUUCUUUGCUGACGAGUGGCGGACGGGUGAGUAAUACUUAGGAAUAUGCCUUUUGGCGGGGGAUAACCAUUGGAAACGAUGGCUAAUACCGCAUAACGUCUACGGACCAAAGGGGGCUCCGGCUCCCGCCAAGAGAGUAGCCUAAGCGAGAUUAGCUAGUUGGUGAGGUAAGAGCUCACCAAGGCGACGAUCUCUAGCUGUUCUGAGAGGAAGAUCAGCCACACUGGGACUGAGACACGGCCCAGACUCCUACGGGAGGCAGCAGUGGGGAAUAUUGCACAAUGGGGGAAACCCUGAUGCAGCCAUGCCGCGUGUGUGAAGAAGGCCUUCGGGUUGUAAAGCACUUUCAGUUGUGAGGAAAGGUUGGUAGUUAAUACCUGCCAGCUGUGACGUUAACAACAGAAGAAGCACCGGCUAACUCCGUGCCAGCAGCCGCGGUAAUACGGAGGGUGCGAGCGUUAAUCGGAAUUACUGGGCGUAAAGCGCACGCAGGCGGUUUGUUAAGCUAGAUGUGAAAGCCCCGGGCUCAACCUGGGACGGUCAUUUAGAACUGGCAGACUAGAGUCUUGGAGAGGGGAGUGGAAUUCCAGGUGUAGCGGUGAAAUGCGUAGAGAUCUGGAGGAACAUCAGUGGCGAAGGCGACUCCCUGGCCAAAGACUGACGCUCAUGUGCGAAAGUGUGGGUAGCGAACAGGAUUAGAUACCCUGGUAGUCCACACCGUAAACGCUGUCUACUAGCUGUUUGUGGAUUUAAUCCGUGAGUAGCGAAGCUAACGCGCUAAGUAGACCGCCUGGGGAGUACGGCCGCAAGGUUAAAACUCAAAUGAAUUGACGGGGGCCCGCACAAGCGGUGGAGCAUGUGGUUUAAUUCGAUGCAACGCGAAGAACCUUACCUACACUUGACAUACAGAGAACU
This 974-nucleotide ribosomal RNA is filed under the name uncultured bacterium. RNAcentral's name for it is "bacterial SSU rRNA". It matches the Rfam family "Bacterial small subunit ribosomal RNA", at positions 28 to 997 of the family's 1533-position model. The record is from RNAcentral.